UACGGAGGGUGCAAGCGUUAUCCGGAAUCAUUGGGUUUAAAGGGUGCGCAGGCGGAAUUUUAAGUCAGUGGUGAAAUCCCUUCGCUUAACGAAGGAACUGCCAUUGAUACUGAAAUUCUUGAAUUUGGUUGGCGUGGGCGGAAUGUGCCAUGUAGCGGUGAAAUGCUUAGAUAUGGCACAGAACACCGAUCGCGAAGGCAGCUCACGAAACCAUUAUUGACGCUCAGGCACGAAAGCAUGGGGAGCAAAC
Molecule: ribosomal RNA, 250 nt
Filed under: uncultured bacterium
Lineage: Bacteria
Description: partial 16S ribosomal RNA
Rfam family: Bacterial small subunit ribosomal RNA
Source: RNAcentral